This 412-nucleotide unclassified non-coding RNA is filed under the name soil metagenome. RNAcentral's name for it is "partial contains 5.8S ribosomal RNA, internal transcribed spacer 2, and large subunit ribosomal RNA". The stretch from base 1 to 122 matches the Rfam family "5.8S ribosomal RNA", at positions 35 to 154 of the family's 154-position model. The record is from RNAcentral.
GAUGAAGAACGCAGCGAAAUGCGAUACUUGGUGUGAAUUGCAGAAUCCCGUGAACCAUCGAGUCUUUGAACGCAAGUUGCGCCCGAAGCCUUCUGGCCGAGGGCACGUCUGCCUGGGCGUCACGCAUCGCGUCUCCCCCCAACCCACCUAGUUAUAGGUAGGAUGUGGGGGAGGAGGAUGGCUUCCCGCGCCUCACCGGGCGUGGAUGGCCUAAAUUUGGAGCCCGCGGCACUUAGCUCUCGUGGCGAUAGGUGGUGAACAAGGCCUUGGCCGUGCAAACAACCUGCUGCGAAUCUCUAUGUCAUGUGCGCUCGUCGGACCCUUUGAAGUUGCCUUCGGUGACUUAAAACCUUUGCGACCCCAGGUCAGGCGGGGCUACCCGCUGAAUUUAAGCAUAUCAAUAAGCGGAGGA